This 253-nucleotide ribosomal RNA is filed under the name uncultured bacterium. RNAcentral describes it as "partial 16S ribosomal RNA". It matches the Rfam family "Bacterial small subunit ribosomal RNA", at positions 524 to 776 of the family's 1533-position model. The record is from RNAcentral.
UACGAAGGGAGCUAGCGUUGUUCGGAAUCAUUGGGCGUAAAGCGCACGUAGGCGGACCGCUAAGUCGGAUGUGAAAGCCCUCGGCUUAACCGAGGAAGUGCAUUCGAAACUGACGGUCUUGAGUAUGGAAGAGGGUCGCGGAAUUCCCGGUGUAGAGGUGAAAUUCGUAGAUAUCGGGAGGAACACCAGUGGCGAAGGCGGCGACCUGGGCCAAUACUGACGCUGAGGUGCGAAAGCGUGGGGAGCAAACAGG